This 477-nucleotide long non-coding RNA is filed under the name Homo sapiens (human). RNAcentral describes it as "non-protein coding lnc-ZNF800-1:4". The record is from RNAcentral. Lineage: Eukaryota; Metazoa; Chordata; Mammalia; Primates; Hominidae.
AUGUGAUCUUUGCCUCAAUGGAGGCAUCAUUUAGAGGCAUUGCCCCCAAAACACUGUGCCUGAGAGAGAGCAUCCUGCAGUUCAUGUAAUGAAAAGACCUGGCAUGAGACAGUGGAGCAGGACAGCUAUGGACCCCAAACUCAAAGAGGUGGAAAGCAUACCACAGACAUCUUUCAUUAGCACUGUAGCUGCACUGUCUAGAAGAUAAUCUGAGAGUGCUUGUUGAAUGAAGGAAUAGAUGGACAUGGCAGCCUUCAGUAGCAGUGACUCCUGCACUGACACCACCAGUAUGAGUGGGUAAGUUAGUGAUGGGACAGAAACACUUCUCAAGAUCUUCAGGCUUGGCCAAGGUACUCAAAUGCAUAGCUGUUGGAGAUAGCAAGAGGACUACAUUUUUACUUAUUUUCUUAAAAUAUUCCAACUCCUAUUCUGUUUUGUGUUUAAAAAUUCUAGUGUUUGCAAAUAUCUUGAAGGAAC